GAAAGGAACCCAAGAACUGCUAACUCCAACUACUGAUAUUAAACGAUCAGGCCUUUCC
RNAcentral lists this transfer RNA (58 nucleotides) under Furcifer bifidus. Its description in RNAcentral is "tRNA-Ser". The record is from RNAcentral. Lineage: Eukaryota; Metazoa; Chordata; Lepidosauria; Squamata; Chamaeleonidae.